GAGAGAGAGAUAUAAAUAUGGAAAGGGAAAAUACUGGAUUAAAUCCUGAAGUACUGAAUUGGAAUUGAGGAUCUCAAUGUGAACUCAGCUUU
This is a long non-coding RNA of Lontra canadensis (Northern American river otter), 92 nucleotides long. RefSeq lists it as uncharacterized. The transcript is spliced from 3 exons. The record is from RefSeq and is a predicted model, not a curated record. Lineage: Eukaryota; Metazoa; Chordata; Mammalia; Carnivora; Mustelidae.